This 328-nucleotide ribosomal RNA is filed under the name uncultured eukaryote. RNAcentral describes it as "partial 18S ribosomal RNA". It matches the Rfam family "Eukaryotic small subunit ribosomal RNA", at positions 1470 to 1796 of the family's 1831-position model. The record is from RNAcentral.
CCCUUAGAUGUUCUGGGCGGCCCGCGCACUACAAUGGCGUGUGCAGCGAGUGCCGAAGUAGAGUUUUCCGAGGUAUUCUUGCAAUGCUCGUUUUGAUGGGGAUAGACCCUUGCAACUGUUGGUUUUGAACGAGGAAUUCCUUGUAAGCAUGGUUUAUCAUCCGACGCUGAGUGCGUCCCUGCCCUUUGUACACACCGCCCGUCGCUACUACCGAUUGAACGGUUUAGUGAGGGCCUCGGAUUGGUCUCGGCCCGCUCUUUACCGGGCGGCGCCGUUGGUCGAGAAGACGCUCGAACUUGAUCGUUUAGAGGAAGUAAAAGUCGUAACA